Molecule: ribosomal RNA, 497 nt
Filed under: uncultured bacterium
Lineage: Bacteria
Description: partial 16S ribosomal RNA
Rfam family: Bacterial small subunit ribosomal RNA
Source: RNAcentral
GAUGAACGCUGGCGGCGUGCCUAAUACAUGCAAGUCGAGCGAACAGAUGAGGAGCUUGCUCCUCUAACGUUGGCGGCGGACGGGUGAGUAACACGUGGAUAACCUACCCAUAAGACUGGGAUAACUUCGGGAAACCGGAGCUAAUACCGGAUAAUAUAUUGAACGGCAUGGUUCAAUAGUGAAAGACGGUUUUGUUGUCACUUAUAGAUGGAUCCGCGCCGCAUUAGCUAGUUGGUAAGGUAACGGCUUACCAAGGCAACGAUGCGUAGCCGACCUGAGAGGGUGAUCGGCCACACUGGAACUGAGACACGGUCCAGACUCCUACGGGAGGCAGCAGUAGGGAAUCUUCCGCAAUGGGCGAAAGCCUGACGGAGCAACGCCGCGUGAGUGAUGAAGGUCUUCGGAUCGUAAAACUCUGUUAUUAGGGAAGAACAAAUGUGUAAGUAACUAUGCACGUCUUGACGGUACCUAAUCAGAAAGCCACGGCUAACUACGUG